Molecule: ribosomal RNA, 253 nt
Filed under: uncultured bacterium
Lineage: Bacteria
Description: partial 16S ribosomal RNA
Rfam family: Bacterial small subunit ribosomal RNA
Source: RNAcentral
GACGGAGGGUGCUAGCGUUGUUCGGAAUCACUGGGCGUAAAGCGCGCGUAGGCGGCUACUUAAGUCGGAUGUGAAAGCCCCUGGCUCAACUGGGGAAGUGCACCCGAAACUGAGUAGCUUGAGUGCAAAAGAGGGCCGCGGAAUUCCCGGUGUAGAGGUGAAAUUCGUAGAUAUCGGGGGGAACACCGGUGGCGAAGGCGGCGGCCUGGGUUGACACUGACGCUGAGGCGCGAAAGCGUGGGGAGCAAACAGG